UGCAGGGUGUCAGUGGGGCACGAGUGGGGCUGUGAGUGCUGGGGGUAUCAGUGGGGCACGAGUGGGGCUGUGAGUGUUGUGGGGUGACAGUGGAGCAGCUGGCAGUGAUGGGGCACUGUGGGGUGGAGCUGAGGUGCUGCAGGGUGUCACUGGGAUUGAGGAUCUGUGGGGUGCCCCAAGGAUGGGACUCUGUAGAGUGUCACUGGGGCAGUGCUGGGGCACUGUAGGAUGUCACUGCAGUGCGGCUGGGAUGCAGGGUUAGAGCCAGGGCACUGGGGGGUGUCGCUGGGGCCAGGGUGCUGUGUGGUGUUGCUGGGACAGGAAUGGAACUGGUGUCAGGUGCUGAUGGGGUGGCACAGGGGCAGAGUUGUGGGUGUUGGGGGUAGGGAUAGGGCAGGUGUCUGCACUGAUGAGAGCUGAUGUGGGGUAGCUGUUGGGUGGCAUUGGGGCAGUCAUAAGGUUGAUGGGUUAAUGCAGGGUCUCCAUUGCCUAGCACUGUUGGUUUCUGACUGCCAGGCACCCAUAACUAUUUGCAGCCCAUAGCUUUCUUACCCUGUUCUCCAACCUUAGCUAUCAGUUGUCGCUAGGUUUAUCUGACUUCCUCCCUACUCCCAUUGCUGUGUACUGUAUUUAGUUUUUGUACACUUAUCCCACUGACCCCUCAAAUUGUAAAGUUCCUUCAGGGCUCUGGAUGAGUGUGGGACCCGUCCUCGCAGAGCGGCUUUCGGGGUCCUGGCUUUUCAGUUUAACUUUUCUAAAGAUGAGGUUAUCAAAAUAAAAAUAACAGAGUAUCACAGAGUUCUGAAAAUAAAGAACAUGUGAGCCUAGUUAGCAAAUGUAACAGCAGUGCAGUAAAGUGAAAAUUCAAUUUAAAAAGAAUUCAGUAUUCCAAAGAGGUAAAACUUGAAGUGUAGCAACCCUGAAUUCUAAUAAUCUUCUUUAAAAUAACACACUUUACAAGAAUAAACAUGUAAAAGGAAAACUGCAGUGAAAAGAAGAUUCUGAUUCUGACACAGAAUUAUAAAAGAUGAGUAAAAGAAGUUAUGAGCACCAACUUUUAGUUAUUUAAAGUUAUUGAAUGUUAUUCUAUGUAGAGAGACAAGGUGGGUGAGGUAAUACCUUUUGUUGGACCAACUUCUGUUGAUGACAGAGACAAGUUUUUGAGUGCCACAGAGCUGUUCUUCAGGUCUGGGAAAGGAACUGCCAGCCUCACAGCAAAGUACAAGGUGGAACAGAUUGUUCAGCAUAAGUAGUUAGCACAUAUUGUAAGGGACCAUUGAAGAUAGAGUGGCUUGUUUACUCUUCUGCAGUCAUAGGACAAAGAAGGGGGUUUAUAGGUUACAGAUUGUUGUAAUAAAUAGUAAAUCCACAGUCUCUCUCUUGGGUCCAUGGUUUUUUGAAAGCAUUGUGCAGGUUUCUUUUGAGAAUGAGGACAUAAACGCUUUGUGAAAAGUGUUCACCCACAGGGGCUAUAGGGUGUUUUUGCUGCUGGGAGUUCCUUUAGCAGACCUGAAGAACCUGUGACUCAAAAGCUUGUCUCCAACAGGAGCUGGUCUAAUAAAGAUAUUACCUCACCUGCCUUGUCUCUCUAAUAUCCUGGAAACAUUACACAAGUACAACUACACUGCAUGCUAUCUUUUAUGUAGACAAUCUGAUUAACAGUAGGUUAGAGAGUGUGGUUACUGGAAUGCAUUGGAAAGUAGGAAUAAUUCAAAAUUCUA
Molecule: long non-coding RNA, 1721 nt
Organism: Gopherus flavomarginatus (Mexican gopher tortoise)
Lineage: Eukaryota; Metazoa; Chordata; Testudines; Testudinidae
Exons: 2
Source: RefSeq, a predicted model, not a curated record